This 427-nucleotide ribosomal RNA is filed under the name Nephrops norvegicus (Norway lobster). Its description in RNAcentral is "partial 16S ribosomal RNA". It matches the Rfam family "Bacterial large subunit ribosomal RNA", at positions 1967 to 2598 of the family's 2925-position model. Lineage: Eukaryota; Metazoa; Arthropoda; Malacostraca; Decapoda; Nephropidae. The record is from RNAcentral.
ACUAGUCUCUUAAUUGGAGGCUUGUAUGAAUGGUUGGACAAGAAGUAAGUUGUCUCAAGUACAAAAAUUGAAUUUGACUUUUAAGUGAAAAGGCUUAAAUAUUUUAAAGGGACGAUAAGACCCUAUAAAGCUUAAUAAUUUAAUAUAUAACCAGAUAAAUUAAAAGUUUAAUAUUCUUUAUAUAUAUUAAAUUAUUUCGUUGGGGCGACGAUGAUAUAAUUUGUAACUGUUUAAAUUUUAAAUACAGAGAUAUUUGUGUGUAAUGAUCCUUUUUAUUGAUUAAAAAUUUAAGUUACUUUAGGGAUAACAGCGUUAUUUAUUUUGAGAGUUCAUAUCGACAAAAAAGUUUGCGACCUCGAUGUUGAAUUAAAAAUUCGCCAUGGCGUAAGAGUUGUGGAGGUAGGUCUGUUCGACCUUUAAAUUUUUA